GCAUAUCAAUAAGCGGAGGAAGAUUCCGUAGGUGAAGAUGCUCUUCGGAUAUAAAUAAGUUGACUUAUAAUACACAAAGUCGAUGAAUGUAUACAAAUUUAUAACAAAACAAAACUUUCAACAACGGAUCUCUUGGCUCUCGCAUCGAUGAAGAACGCAGCGAAAUGCGAUACGUAAUGUGAAUUGCAGAAUUCAGUGAAUCAUCGAAUCUUUGAACGCACCUUGCGCUCCUUGGUAUUCCGAGGAGCAUGCCUGUUUGAGUGUCAUGAAAUCUUCAACCCACCUCUUUCUUAGUGAAUCUGGUGGUGCUUGGUUUCUGAGCGCUGCUCUGCUUCGGCUUAGCUCGUUCGUAAUGCAUUAGCAUCCGCAACCGAACUUCGGAUUGACUUGUCGUAAUAGACUAUUCGCUGAGGAUUCUAGUUUUACUAGAGCCGAGUUGGGUUAAAGGAAGCUCCUAAUCCUAAAGUCUAUUUUUUUGAUUAGAUCUCAAAUCAGGUAGGACUACCCGCUGAACUUAAGCAUAUCAAUAAGCGGAGGGAAA
Molecule: ribosomal RNA, 541 nt
Filed under: Rhodotorula graminis
Lineage: Eukaryota; Fungi; Basidiomycota; Microbotryomycetes; Sporidiobolales; Sporidiobolaceae
Description: eukaryotic LSU rRNA
Rfam family: 5.8S ribosomal RNA (bases 113-266)
Source: RNAcentral